AGUCAGUCAGUCUCACUCUGCUUGUUCCAAGAAGGUUCCACUCAGUGCCUUGUCUGACCUGCUCUGGGAAUAGUGCAAGAAGCUUCUAUCUGCCUCAUCUGUUGUAGGAGCUGGACAGUGUGAGAUGAAUGAAGCUUGCAAGAGAAGAGAGUGUGAGCUAUGAAUAAGAGGCUGAAUACUUGCUCAGCUGGAUUCUACUUACAGUGACCUCCUUAGCACUAAAGCUGUUACUUCGUGGCCAGUUUACACUUUCAUGGCUCACACCUACAGCUACAGUGACAACAGGUGAAAUCCAGCCUCUCUCUAGCUGGGGCUCUUUAUUUUGCUCUCAUAUUAGUGCAGUAGAUUGGUGAAUCAAAUAAAGGAAAUCAUCUGAGUUAAAGGUCACUUAAGAAUCCGUUGCUCAGUUACUGUGCAGGUAAAGGAUUAAUUGUGGGCAGAUGAGGAAGAGAGCAGAAAUGUGUGACCAGGGAAAUGAGAGCUAGGAUGGUUUCUUCCAGCCACAGAGCCAGCUUAUGGCAGUUUAAAGUAAUCGUGAAGCUACAGUGUUCGUCUCAUCCUCCCCUCUCAGUUUCAGGCCUUCUGGCCCUAGCUAUAUACUUCACAUUGGGGUAAUUCAGGUUCUUCCAAUUGCCAAAAGAAUUGGAAAGAAACAGGAGAAAGGUACCAGCUGUGGCUCAAAGCAGCCACUGAAGAUCCUGCCUGGGUCAAGGAUGAAGGCAGCAUGAACCUUCCAAGAAUUUUGACUACGGAUGUCCAACGAGGUCUUCUUGACUCCAUGGCUUCUCACAAACUUGCACUUUGAGCCCUGGUAGAAGAUUUGAAGAAGAAAUGUGUAUUUUAUCACAACAGCUUUCUUGGGAAACUUUCUGGGAAGUUUCUUCUCUAAAGCACACAGGAAUGCCGUGUUGCAGUUAUGCAACUCUGAUGUCAGACCACAAUCUGGCCACCCUCCUGCUCUCUCCUGUCUAUCAGAUAGACACUCAUUUCCUAUCAAAAUGUUUCCAGCAAGCUGAACUCUUCAACAUCAGCUAGGUGAUAGAGUUACAAAAUUCCCACUGAAAAAUAUCCGUCAGCUGAUUGGGAAACCUGUUGUCUUCUGGUAAGUUUUGGUAUCUCACUGCCAGCAUGUCAGAGAGAUAAAAAUGUGUUUUAGUAACAUUGGUGCUAAGCUCUUUUCAUACCAAUAGUCUGCUCAAAGUGGCUUAGAGAAGCAGGGGCGUUGUCAUCUGCCAGCCCUCCCUCUGCCAGCUCUCCCGGCCCUGCCAUCCUGGCCAGGAGGCAUGCUGAAGGAGGAAGGAACAUAUUGGGAGUGGGAGGGGGAGACAUCAGGCAAAUGAACAAACUGUUCAUUCAAGGGGCUUGUUUGGAGCAAUUUUUCAGAGGUGCAAAUUAGAGCAGUCCAGAAGUUGUUACAAUAAAUCUGAUGUGCUUUAAGGCA
Molecule: long non-coding RNA, 1441 nt
Filed under: Cyanistes caeruleus (blue tit)
Lineage: Eukaryota; Metazoa; Chordata; Aves; Passeriformes; Paridae
Description: lncRNA (ENSCCEG00000013470.1)
Source: RNAcentral